CCUACUGGAGACAUCAUUGAGGCAUCUUGGUCAAUGGGCGCGAGCCUGAACCAGCCAAGUAGCGUGAAGUCUUCCUUCCCUCCUUUUUUUCCCCUUCUUUUCUCCCUUCCUCCAUUUAUUCACUUUUGCCUUUUUGUAUUUACUUUAUUAAUAAUUAUCUUCUAACUCCGUGCCAUCCUCCUCUUUAAUACUUAGUCUCCUAGCGUUAUCCGGAUUUAUUGGGGUUAAAGGGAGCGUAGAUGGGUUGUUAAGUCAGUUGUGAAAGUUUGCGGCUCAACAGGAAAAUGUAAAUGGAGAAGGGAAGUCUUGAGUACAGUUGAGGUAGGCGGAAUGAGUGGUGGAGAGGUGAAAUGCUUAGAUAUAAAGAAGAAAUCAGAUUGCGAAGGCAGCUGAAGAAAAGGAAAAGGAAAUUGAUGAUAGAAAGGGGGGGGAUCAAAAAGGAGGAGAGAAAAGGGAGUC
RNAcentral lists this ribosomal RNA (459 nucleotides) under uncultured bacterium. Its description in RNAcentral is "partial 16S ribosomal RNA". It matches the Rfam family "Bacterial small subunit ribosomal RNA", at positions 338 to 795 of the family's 1533-position model. The record is from RNAcentral.